Molecule: long non-coding RNA, 6027 nt
Organism: Patella vulgata (common limpet)
Lineage: Eukaryota; Metazoa; Mollusca; Gastropoda; Patellidae
Exons: 5
Source: RefSeq, a predicted model, not a curated record
CUAACCCCGGACCAAGCGUAAUGCUUACCCUAGCCUACAAUCUCGCCAACAAUCACGUGCCCAACCCUAUUUCAUCUCCGCGACCUUGACGAAAAUUGAGUUGGCCAUAACAAAUAGAUUUAGCCGUUGCCGCCGAUAAUGCACACAACAGGGAAAGUUCUGUCACUUUCUUUAUGACCUAACCCGUAUUUUAAACCCUACUUAAGCUUGGAUUGAAAUGAAAGGUUGACCUAAAACGUAAACAAGAUAAUUAGAAACGUAAUUGGGGGAUAUUUAUGUUUGUCAGUUUAUAUCUGAGAAAGAAGCUAACACACACACACCGCAGGCGGUAUGAGUGCAAGUGGAAAUACAGGGCCAGAGCCCCCACCACCAUCUUAUGAUGAAGCAAUGAAUAUACCUCAAACCUAUCCUGGUGGCACCAGUCCAUACCCCCCUCAACAACCCCAAUACCCUCCUCAUCAGCAGCCAUACCCUCCUCAAGCAUCAGCCCCUCAUCAAGCAUCAGCCCCAUACCCUCCAGCUCAAACUCCCAUGGUUCACCCUGUUGCCUAUGGUAACCCUAAUACUCCUGCAGCAAACCAGGCACAAUAUGGAGGCAACUCGUAUGGUGUACCCACAGCAAAUUACUCAACACAAUAUGGAGUUCCAGCACAAAAUACACAGGCCUAUCCUGUACCCGGUACAGCGGGUUAUAACACAACACCAUUGGCAUAUGGUCAUCAGGGAAAUAUGAGCGUGGACCAGAAUAAAAAGAAGAUCAUUGUGAUAUGUGUCUUUGUUGUAUUUGCUAUUGUAGUGCUGAUAAUUAUUUUUAAUACUGCUUUUAGUCUGAGCUGAAUGGUCUGUGUUGAACCAAAAUGAACUUACUACAUUAUUUAUAAUUAUAUGCCCAUGUUUAAUGUGGACGGAUAUUGUCAUCACCUGUGUCUAUCCACUAUUGCUAGAUUCACCAUUUCUCUUAUGAAUUUUAUGGUAUGAUCCUGAUGUCUUAUUGAGAUCUUGAACAUGGUCAGAUUUGAUUGUAAUUCGCAAGAGUUAUUUCCCUUCAAAAAUAGCCUGUGAACUAAGAAGAAUAUGAUUUUAGUGAAACUUGGAUGACAUCUUGUAUGGGUUUAACUAACCCGGGACAUUUCCUCUGCUAAUCUAAUUUUAAUGAAACUUUGAAUGUUGUCUAAAGUUGUCUCAUAUCUAUGUGAUCUUAGACCAUUUUCAAUUUAAAUGUGACUUGUCCAUUAUUCACUGUGUUAUCGUCCUUGACUUGACCAAAUAUAGGUUGUUUACAUAUUUCAUUUGAAUUUGAGGAAAUUCCGUAUGUUAUUUAAUACCUAUGAAAUCUCAGAUAAGCUUGAAUUUGAAUUGGAGAAAAUAGCUUUUUAUUCAACUUUGUUGAUGUAACUUAUGACUUGAUUUAUAUACAUGAUAUCUCAAAUUCAAAUUUAAUGGGAUUUUUAUAUAGAAAAUUAGUAGUUGCCUCUAACUAAGUGGAUAUGCAUCAAAUAUAACUGCUUUUCAUCCAUAUCACCUUUCUCUAAUUUUCUUGAAGUAACCGAUGUUGUUAAUGUUUAUAUUUACCCGAAAAGUGGAUGUAUCUGCUUUUUUUUGAAAAAUCGUAAUAUUUUAGCAGUGUUAAUGACUUCAUCAUAAUCCUCUUUCUUAGUUUGAUUUAGCUUUUUCAUAAGAGAGGAAUGUCUUCUCUGCUUAUUGGAUUAAAAAUGUCUGUAAUAAAAAUAAAUAUUCUGAGAAAAAAGUACAUAAAUAUUUCCUCUGUUAAUAUUUUAUAUUUUAUAACCUACGUAAUGUCUCUAUUUAUAGCCUACUAGUUUUUUUGCAUCAGUUGAGUUUUCCAAUGCUUCUGAGUAUAACAGGAAGUAAUAAUUGUCUGAAACUUGAAAUAGUAUAACUCUGAAAGCGAUAAUGCAACACCACCAAAUCUGUGUCAUUUCCCAACUCAAGCUGCCUUUAUACCCCAGCCUUAAUGUAGCCAUCAACCCUAAACAACAGUCACAAAUACAUGUAUAAUAUGUAUAUAGUUGAUAAAUAAUCUAAAUUAUAUUUUAAAAUAUCAGUAUAUAAUCUUUUUUAUGUACUGUUCAAAUAUGCAUAUUACUAAAUAAUGGGUUAAGAUACCGGUUCAUUAUUUUUUGUACUUGCUAUUCCAUUAUGCAUAUAUUGUUUGUACAUUAGCAUUGGUUGUGACAUAAUAUUAGCAAUAUAUAUUUUUAUACUAUAGCUACAUGCCUGAAUUAAGAUCUUUAUAAUCCAUGAAUAUUCCACGGUUUUAUCCUUUUCUGUUGUUGUGAAAUUAAUUUUAUUGUUUGUAUAAUAUUCAUUCAAAUAUUUGAUAUUUGUUAAAUUUUCUUUAAAAUUGUUUUUAGUCAUAUUUUUUUUUUAUACGGUAAUUACUAAUUAUUUACAAUCUUGUUAUAUUAUUAACUCAAAUUUAUAUUUAUGUGGAUAUUAAUAUAUUUUUACCUUUAUUGUUAUACGCUCACAUUUUCAUGUGGACGUAUAUUGUCGUUGCCCCUGUCUGUGCGUCCGUCCGUUCACAUUUUUUUUGUGGACACUCUACAGGUCACAAUUUUGACGAAACUUGAAAUAUAGGUUUAUCUCUCAAUGAUCUCAGUGCCUGUCGAUAAUUAUGCAUAUUGGACCGUAACUUGCUGGAUUAUGGCCCCUGAUUGUACGAAAAAUCAGUUUUGAGCUUGUUGGCUUGAGAUCACAAUUUUUAUCUAAUUUUGAUGAAAUUUGAAGUGUAUGUUUAUAACCCAAAGAUUGCUGUUCCUUUCAAUAUUCGCACAUAUUAGACUGUAACUUCCUGGAAUAUUGCCCCAGAUGGUUGAGUUCGAAUUUCGUGAAAAUCAGACUGGAACUGUCCGAUGCUUGUACGCAAAUAAUGUAAAAGUGUGUAUCGGUAAUACCAAGGUUGUGGACCUUCUAAAGUUCACAAUCUUUUUGCAAUUAUGAUGAAACUGAAAAUAUAUGUUUUUAUUCCAAAGAUCUCGGCUCCUUUUGAUACUUGUAAGUACCUUCUGAAUUAUGGCCCCUGAUUUGUACUAAAAAUUGCUUUUUUUUGUUUAGCUUGUUUUCUGUCCAUCUCUUGCAAAUUGUGGGCAGAUCUUGCAUGGCAACCAUUGGUUUUUAUUAGUAAGCCUGGUAGCAACAAGUAUUUUAAUAAAGUUUUUAUUUUGGAUCCUCUGAUGUCCUGUUAUGCAUUAUAAUUUGACAGCAGCAUUUUAAGUAAUAUCUAAAUGCAGGCUAGGAAAUCUUUAAUUUUAAUACAGGAACAUGGUGACAGACAGACAAACCCCAUUUUAAUAGUCCCCUGCUUCAUUCGAAAGGCGGGGAACAAUUAUCGAAACCUCCAACUAAGAAUGAAAUAAGGAAUUAAACUUUGCUCCACGAAAACCAGAAUUUAUGAAACUAAUUCCAUACUUUCAGGAGAAAGGUCGCGAAUCUGUUUUUCGGUCGCCUUUGAUUAUCUUCAGAUUUUGACACCCACAAAUGAAUGCCAUGAUGUCAUGUAACAUUGUCUGCAUUUCAGAUGGAACACUAGAUCUGAAAUUAUAAUAUAAAGUUCUGUAUGUCAAUUUCAAGCCCAUUCUCAAAAUAUCCAUUAUAAAACAUCCAUUCGCACUAUUUUCUUCCAAUGUUGUUGAAUCUGUGUUUUUCACAUUAAUAGAUUGCCAUGUCUGCAUAAUUAAAGAUUAUACACAGUGCGUCAUUAAUUUUUGAAAUAUUUUAACAUAAAAAGUCAUUCGCAUUAUUUUAUUCAAAAUCCAAUGUUGAUGGCAAGGCUAAGACAAUAUAAACAUCAUUAUAAUAACUAACGAGAACGGAAACUAAAAAAUAAUAAGAUCUAAAUUUCAUAAGUUUGGGGACUAUUUCAUUGCGGUAUGAAAAUAGCUAGACGCCGUGCAAAAUGAAAACACCAGAAAGCACAGUACUGUCAUCACUUUAAUUAUCUAAUAUAUUGCACAGUAAUGUCCUAAAAUACCAAUAACGUCAGCGUUAAAGACUCUUUGUAACACGUGUUGUGGACUAAUGAAUAAGUGUGUUUAAUUAAUCAUACGUCAUGACAAGGAGAGAAGACGUUUCAGCCACAGGUGGCACAAGUGGAAAUGGAAAUACAGGGUCAGAACCCCCUCCACCAUCUUAUGAUGAAGCUAUGAAUUUACCUCAGACCUAUCCCCCUCAACAACUCCCUUAUCUUGCUCAACAACCCUCAGCCCCAUACCCUCCUCAACAUCCUACACAACCAUCAGCCCCAUGCAAUGAAGAACUUCCGUACCCAUCUCAACCACCUGUUAUCUAUCCACCUCAGCAACUGCCGUACCCCACCCACCCUACCUACCCCAACACUCCUACUGGAGCACCUGUCGUUUAUCCUGUUGCUUAUGCAAGCCCUGGCAAUCCUGGUUAUCCAUAUGGAAACCCUGUUGUUCCUGGCAACCCUAAUUAUCCUUAUGGGAAUCCUGUUGUUUCUGGCAACACAAGUAAUCCUCCUGGUACACAAGUUUACAGCAAUACACCAUUGGUGAUGAACAAUACUGGUCCGUUGAGUGCUUCGCAAACUGCCAUGCUCCACAGAAAAAAGAAACUUAUCCUGUUUAGUUUUUUUGUCAUAAUUUGUGUUAUUGUUGUAAUAAUAAUCUUAUUCUAAACUGAAUGGAACAUACUAAAGAUGGCAACAAAAUAACUUAUUGUGAAUUUAUGGAAGAUCGACAGGGCUUUAAUACAACACUAUACCCAAGCACUAAUCUGUACAGGCCAUUGAAUUUUACAGUUAUAUGUUGUGGUGGAUCUAGAACAAUUGGUUAGGUGGGUACCUUCGAGAAAAGUUUGCAAAUUUGGGUUGUCUGUGGUGAUUUGUGCCACAUAUCUGGACUUUAAUAAAAUAUUCAGUUUCAUUCAGCUACAACCUCACUAUACUGCAACCAACAUAAAGCUCAAGUUUACAUGUUUCAUAGAAACAGAAUAAUAAGUUAUUUUUUUAUAAUUUUAUUUGGGAGUGGGGGGUUUGGGUAGUGGGCCGUAAAGUGGUAGAGAUCGAUUAUAGCCAUGCUAGUUCUACCAGGUGUAAAUUGAACCCAUGGUAUGGACCAUAUAUAGCCUUAUUGUGCAACGACGCUUAUAUAAAAUGAUACUUAUACAAAUUGGUUGGACAAUAUAGGCUAGACAUACAUCUAGUGUAGACUAUAUAGACCCUUACCUUAUGGACACACUUAUAUAAAAUGAUUGUGGAAUAUAUAGGGCAGAACAUGUAACGGACACUUAUGCAUGAAAUUAGUACAAAAUGUGUCAUGGAAUGGAGUCUUAUAUUGUGCACAAUUAUUAUAACUGAAGAUACUGUCACAAAAUUUGUACAUUUUAAAAUGAGAAUCAGAUAUAGCAAUGAUAGUCAGUUACUAAUGUUUAAAGGACAACAUUGGUGCCAGUCAUUAUCACAUAUGUGAUAGAGCUGGUUAAACACAUUCCAAAUAUAAUUUUAUCUCAGAGAUCAUUGCUACGAUAGCUGAGUAAUACAGUUUUUCUGAAUCGGAAGUGACGAACGCCAAAGGAAAACACGAGUCGCCUCUCUAUAUAACUGACUGAUGUGACGAAUGAUAACGGAUAUACGGGUGAAUUUCUGCUCACUAAUAAUUCCUUCGGAGACCAAAAGUUGUUAUAUGGGACUGUAAGAGGAUACCUGACAAUUCAAUAAAGUAAUUGAAUGUCAUUAGAUAAGAGAACACGAGAAAAAUAGAAAUAGUCCGUACAUUCCCUUGUUUAUAUUCAUUCUAUACCUUAUAAAAACAUGGUAAUGCACAGACUUUUUCUGUUUUUCUUUCGUGUUCACUUAUCUAGUGACAGUCAAUUCUUUUUAUGAAUUGUCAGAUAUCCUUUCAUAGUCUCACACAACAACUUUUGGUCUUGGAAGGAAUUAUUAGUGAGCAGAAAUUCGCCUGUAUAUCCGUUAUCAUUCUUCACAUCAGUCAGUUAUAUAGAGAGGCGACUCGUGUUUUCCUUUGGCGUUCGUCACUUCCGAUU